This 2105-nucleotide long non-coding RNA is filed under the name Jatropha curcas. RNAcentral's name for it is "long non-coding RNA (JCUR_LNC001415)". Lineage: Eukaryota; Viridiplantae; Streptophyta; Magnoliopsida; Malpighiales; Euphorbiaceae. The record is from RNAcentral.
GCGAUUGGGUAAGUAUUUCCAGUGGAAAACAUUCAGUUGUGCCUGGCUUCUUUUGAUGGUGAAUUAAUGCAGAGUACCAUACUCUGUUUUCUGAACCGACUCUGUAAUUCACUGUAAGAAUCAUGUAAAAAUGUAAUUUUUCUGACACCUGUUCCGAGGGUCAGGGAAAUCCGGCAUUGUUUUGUCAUAUAAAGGAAAUAAAUGACUUUUUUCUUUUUGGUGUAGAAUUCUCUCUUCGGACCAGAGGGAAAAGUUCCCCGUCUUUUUCAUUUGUGUCCGCAAGUGAGGGGAAUUAUUUCUGUCAUUGAACUUCGACAAUAAAAUUUCCUUUAAAAAAAUGUUCUAUUUAACUUUUCCUUUUGGUUGAGUAAUUAAAAAAUAGUAGAGAAUUUUAAUGGAAAAACUCUGCAACUGAACUCUACAAAAUAGAAGAUUUUCAUUAAUAAAUUAUACCUAAUUAUAGACUAAGUUGUAAGUAGUAAUAAGCUCGUUUGAAAAAUAUAAAAUUUCCAACAUUAUGAACUAUUACUAAAAAGAAUUGGUAACUCUAAUCAUAUUCUUGUUUUAUUUUAUUCAAAAUACUCUGUUAUAUAUAUAUAUAUAUAUAUAUAUAUAUAUAUGUGGGACAAUGAAAUACCAAAUGAUACUGAAGAUCCAAAGGCUGUAGAAAAGGCUCCUGAAGGAACACCUACUGGUGGUGGCUUGUUUGUGGUUAUCGUACAUGAAGCUCAAGACGUGGAAGGAAAGCAUCAUACAAAUCCUUAUGUGAGAUUACUUUUCAGAGGGGAGGAGAGAAAAACUAAGGUAAGCUUGAAGCAGAACCCUUUUAAGAAUGAAGUUUACCUUAACAGAGUUGCAAUUUUUUAACAUUUGCUAGUGCAGGCAGACUCAGGUUCUACAUGAGUAGCUUCUUUUAGGAAAUAAGUUGCUGAAACCUCAAAGUAUUUUAAUACAUACGAUGAUGAUUUAACUUUUUUAAAGUUCGGAUGAUUAAAAAAACUGCUACAUAUUGUCAGCCCAUUAAUUCUUGUAUUCCACAUCGAUACAGCUUGUGAAGAAAAACAGAGAUCCAAGAUGGGAGGAGGAUUUUCAGUUCAUGCUAGAGGAGCCACCCACAAAUGAUAAACUUCAUGUGGAAGUUUGUAGUGCCUCCACAAGGAUGGGUCUUCUCCAUCCCAAGGUACGCAAGCCAUUGCCUUUUCUAUCAGAUUUUGCCUCGGUAUAAUCAUAAGAUUGUAGUAGAUCCAGCAAUUGAACCUACUUUGAAGUUAAAACUGGUUUCUAUUAACAAAAAUUUUUGAAAUAAUAUUUUUUAUUUUUUCAACUCAACGGGUUGAGUUCUUCUACUUGUGACUUGGAGCUCAUGGGUUCGAACCAUAGAAAAUCAGUGGAAAAAUUGCUUAUAUCUUCCAGAACCCUACAAACUUGGGAACUGGGUCGUCUUUAUUCAGCUUUCAAAGUUUUCUUAUACUUUUUUAUUUUUUCCUCCUUGAAUGAUAAUUUCCGACAGGAAACUUUGGGUUAUGUGGAUAUAAACCUAGCUGAUGUGGUUAACAACAAGAGAAUCAACGAGAAGUAUCAUCUUAUCGACUCGAGGAAUGGUCGGGUUCAAAUAGAAUUACAGUGGAGAACUUCUUAAAAAAAAUGUUGCACUUGGGUAAGUAUUUUACAGUGGAGAACUUCGUAAAAAAAAAAAAUGCUGCGAUUGGGUAAGUAUUUCCAGUGGAAAACAUUCAGUUGUGCCUGGCUUCUUUUGAUGGUGAAUUAAUGCAGAGUACCAUACUCUGUUUUCUGAACCGACUCUGUAAUUCACUGUAAGAAUCAUGUAAAAAUGUAAUUUUUCUGACACCUGUUCCGAGGGUCAGGGAAAUCCGGCAUUGUUUUGUCAUAUAAAGGAAAUAAAUGACUUUUUUCUUUUUGGUGUAGAAUUCUCUCUUCGGACCAGAGGGAAAAGUUCCCCGUCUUUUUCAUUUGUGUCCGCAAGUGAGGGGAAUUAUUUCUGUCAUUGAACUUCGACAAUAAAAUUUCCUUUAAAAAAAUGUUCUAUUUAACUUUUCCUUUUGGUUGAGUAAUUAAAAAAUAGUAGAGAAUUUUAAUGGAAAAAC